Brassica napus (rape) is the source of this 2724-nucleotide RNA transcript. RefSeq lists it as uncharacterized. The transcript is spliced from 3 exons. NCBI's taxonomy places the organism in Eukaryota, Viridiplantae, Streptophyta, Magnoliopsida, Brassicales, Brassicaceae. The record is from RefSeq and is a predicted model, not a curated record.
GUUUUGAUUCGUAACUAGUAACUAGCAUUAUAAUGGUUCAAGACUAGAUUAAGAGAGAGAGAAAUCAUGCUAAUCUCAAUGGUUGAACUAAGGAAAAUGAUGGUUGAACAAUGUUUAAUUUUUUAUUUUAUUUUAAGAACCCUUAAAUAAGAGACUCCCAUUGGAACACAAAAAUAUUGGUGUCUCUUAAGUAGGUCUCUUAAGAAAUAUAUAAUACUUAAAAAUCAUUAAGAGACCUAAAGUGGAUGUUCGGGUUAAUGAUGCUCUAAUGCCGUAACAUUAGAAAUUCCUUUUCCACCUUUUUAAAAACAAAAAUAACUAGAUCUCGACCCGCGGAACCGUGCGGAUGUUUAUUUUCAUUUAUUUUUAUAUAAACAUUUUUGUUUUCAAUUUUACAUUGGUAUAUAUUGCUCCAUCCAUUCCUAAAAGAUCCAUGUUUUAGAAUUUUCACACUUUUUAAUAACACAUAUUAAAACUUAGCUAUAAAUGCAUAGUUUUUGUAAUUUUAUAUUUCCUAUACUUUUAAACCAAUAAGAUUUUAAGAAAUGAAAUUAAUAUUCUUGAACUUCACAAUUUCUUAUUAUUAAUUGACAAAAAUUACAUUGGAAAUAUAAAAUAUGUAUCUUUUUGAAACAAAUUUUUUCAUAGAUCUUUUAGGAACAAAUGGAGUAUAAUAUAUAUGAGGUGUGUCUGUCACUUUUUAAAACAUAAUAAUUUUUUGCUUGGAAAAAAUUGAUAUUUAUUUAGUUCUUAUAAUGUAGUAGACAUAUUAUUUAGUUCCUAUAAUCUAGAAAGUGAGUUAUUUAGAUCUAUAAUAAUGAUAAGAUUAGAGAUUAAAUGUAACAUAAUUUUUUAGUAGUAGGUCCAUUUUUUAAAAAAAAUCACACAUGAGUUAAGGUUGUGACUUCUCUUUUAAUAUAUAAGAUACGAGAAAGAGAAAAUCUAUAUUAUAAUAGUAAAGUUUCUAUUCACUCUUAACCCUAUCCACGUGAGCACAUGGAACCCACAAAAUAUAUUUUAAAACAGAAACUCCAAUGCUAAUUUCUAUUACAGUUCUCCCGUGGAAUGUUAUAUUUCCUUGACGAUAGAGCUUUUAUCAUUAAUUUCACAAUCUAAACACAAUUGUUCUCUUCACCUCCCAACUUUGACUCUAUAGAUUUGAUUCACCUCAUCUCUAAUCACAAUAGACGCCUCACUAAUAAUAACUGAAGAAGAUCCGAUCAAUUAAUUUAGGGUGAGAGCAUUUACGUGACCAGCGACCUUAUCAAAAUCUGGGAGACUGGGACGUUGGUAGAGGGCUUAGGCUGCCACGACGAUGCUUGACAACUCAUCCUCCUAAUUCCGUCUCUGCUUGCUUUCUCCGACAACUACUAAUCACUGAAUCAACAGCCGGUGUAUCAGCGAGUUCGCCAUUCUUUGUCUCACUGAUCUCGGAUGUGGUCCUCUCAGAGAUUUUUAACCCCAAAUCGACCUCAAACGUUGACAGACAUCCAUGGCGAGCACCAAAUUCCAGCCAAUCAUAUCUACGUUUCCUUGGAUCUUCUAUGUUUCAUCUAUAUGUUGGUAUCACUACUUCCUCUCUAUUCCUUUGUUUAACGGCAGCUACAUAACUUGAGUUUUAUUUUUAUUCAAAGUGAAAACUCCAGAACAAUGGAUUUACGUGGUUUAGGUUUUCAAUGCGUCUUUUGAUUCUGUAUCUGUUUUUUUUUUGUAAUUAAUUUGUGAUGCUGAAAGCUCAGAUCCAGAUGGGCUAUUUGUGCAUAAAGAGAUGAGGAUUGAAGAACUACCUAAUGUGAGUCAUGAAGGAACUGAUUUUUCUAUUACAAGGUGACAUGCUCUAUAUCAGGCUUUCAAUCUCAAUCAAGUUUCAAUUGCCACUGAAGGACUGAAAGAUGCUCAACAACCUUUAUGUAUAUCUUUCGCUCUCACCACUGUACAACAUAUCGAAUCUAACCAAGUAUUAAGAAUGUCGAUUAAAAUCUACAUAUGACACCACUGAAAAGUAAUGAUGCAAACUGUAAAUAUGGAUGUACGUUUUUAGUUAUUUUUCCACAUGUUGGUGUUUAUCUCUUAAUUUGAAUUUUCUCACUGGUAUUUUUGUUUCCCCUUAUACUAACUCUGAUGGUACAUAAAUUUGCAAGAUCAGAUUAUGGAUUUGAUGGGCGUGAGUUCUAAAAUACAAGAAAAAAUUGGUAGUAGCAAAGAUUUUCCUGAUGACCUUCACGAAGAUGAUUGCAUGGUGCUUUUGGUGUAUUUUAGAGCCUGAGGCUCUUGAAGCUGACAUGGGAAACGAGUCCAAAGUGGAUGGAGUGCCUUUUUCUCUCCAACGCGAUAAUCAAACUGAUUAUGAUGAGGACCUUAUCUUGCCCCAGAACCAAUAGGGCAGACUGGAGCUCAACCUGCUCGAGUUCAUGUUAAAGUGUUUAGACCCUUCUCCUUUUAUCGAACUUAAAAUGCUUUAAAGCAUGAUUUAGCUCUUUAUGGAUGCCUAAAGGGAGAUUUAAAUUUGUGAUUAACAGGCUGAGGAUGAGCUUGGAUUACCGGCAGUACCAAGCUACUCACUGGGGAAUAGAUCUUACGCUCUCUUUGUGGGGUAGAGCUGCUAAGAUCUUUUUUUUUUUUUUGACAAAAGCUGCUAAGAUCUUUGCACCAUUCUAAUGAUUUUGUGGAUAAAUUUCUGGCAAUAUAUCUAUGGAAUGGGAACCUUUUGGUGCAUUUUACUUA